GGGCCCAUCCUGCCCAGCCCUGACAUACAGAGUGUAUGAUGUCAUAUCCAGGGCCCCAUCCUCCCCAGCCCUGACAUACAGAGUGCAUGAUGUCAUAUCCAGGGCCCAUCCUGCCCAGCCCUGACAUACAGAGUGUAUGAUGUCAUAUCCAGGGGCCCCAUCCUCCCCAGCCCUGACAUACAGAGUGCAUGAUGUCAUAUCCAGGGCCCAUCCUCCCCAGCCCUGACAUACAGAGUGUAUGAUGUCAUAUUCAGGGGCCCCAUCCUGCCCAGCCCUGACAUACAGAGUGCAUGACGUCAUAUCCAGGGGCCCCAUCCUGCCCAGCCCUGACAUACAGAGUGCAUGACGUCAUAUCCAGGGGCCCAUCCUGCCCAGCCCUGACAUACAGAGUGUAUGAUGUCAUAUCCAGGGGCCCCAUCCUCCCCAGCCCUGACAUACAGAGUGCAUGAUGUCAUAUCCAGGGGCCCAUCUUCCCCAGCCCUGACAUACAGAGUGCAUGAUGUCAUAUCCAGGGGACCCAUCUUCCCCAGCCCUGACAUACAGAGUGUAUGAUGUCAUAUCCAGGGCCCCAUCCUCCCCAGCCCUGACAUACAGAGUGUAUGAUGUCAUAUCCAGGGCCCCAUCCUCCCCAGCCCUGACAUACAGAGUGUAUGAUGUCA
Molecule: non-coding RNA, 659 nt
Organism: Pelobates cultripes (western spadefoot toad)
Lineage: Eukaryota; Metazoa; Chordata; Amphibia; Anura; Pelobatidae
Source: the annotation of a GenBank genome assembly